This 30-nucleotide non-coding RNA is filed under the name Rattus norvegicus (Norway rat). Lineage: Eukaryota; Metazoa; Chordata; Mammalia; Rodentia; Muridae. The record is from RNAcentral.
UGAGAAAUUGUGUAGAUGUGAAUUUACUGU